Molecule: ribosomal RNA, 2451 nt
Filed under: Triticum aestivum (bread wheat)
Lineage: Eukaryota; Viridiplantae; Streptophyta; Magnoliopsida; Poales; Poaceae
Description: partial small subunit ribosomal RNA
Source: RNAcentral
AUGGGAGACCAGGAAUAUCUUAUCAAUGGCUACGCCGUGUGGGUGGGUUAUCUGUCCAUGGCCAUCAGUGGCUUGGGUUUCCUGGUGCUUACUUGGACCACUGUUGUACUUCUUGGUGGUUUCGUGUCUGAGCUACAUAAGGAGGACUUUUGGUGUGCGGCGUUCAUCACCCUUGUACAAACAGCUGGGAUUUUUGAUGUUACUCUGAAUGAGAAACUAGGCUAUAUGGAGGAUGCGCUCCUCGGGUUCUUGGCGGCCAUUUCAUUUGGCAUUGUACCCGAUGACGCGCCGAGCAAGAGUUGCGCCCAAGAUUUGUUGUCUUUUCUUCUCUUCUUCUCGGUAAUUCUUUUAGUGUUGGUUCAAGUAAUGGUGUUGGCCAUAAUAUUGAGCCCUCUCGCAAUUAUAUAUGUGCUUGGGAUAUUCAUGUCCGGAGUGAUCUCAUGGUGGCGUCUGAUAGAGCACGAUCACGGGGGCAACUCAGAUGAAAAAGCAUCAAACCUAGCACCAGCAUUGCAGAUCUUGUACUACCUUGCUCUGCUCCAAGGCGUGCUCUUCUGCUACAGGUUUCUGUUGACUCUCACGGAGAAGAAGUUUUCUAAGACUCUGGUCACUGAAGACUCGAUGGCCACUGAAGACUCGGAAGUUCAAGCAGUACUUUACAACUACUUGCGUAAAACAAGGAGAGGAUGUGAGAAGGACCCGACAUUUACCCAAGGAAGGAACCUCGUCACACAUGCUGUAGACAAGAUUGGUUCCAAUUCACCUGUUGACUGCAUUUCCGGGGUAAAGAUCCUAUACGCAGCCAUAUGCAUGGUGGAGAGAAAGAAUGAUUGGUCCAAUGUCCAUGGGCAGCGCAUGCUGAUAAAACAUCUUGUCUUGUCUACAUCAUCCUCUCGGCAUGUACUGCCGAAACUGCUAGAGAUGCUAGAUUCAAGAGGCCUACAUGACAGAAAGGGUAGAAUUCAAGCCGCGAUGAUAGUGGAGCGACUUGCAUUCUACAUUAAUUUGGAGCAGUUUCCUCGGAGUAUUCAACACAUAUCUUCCUUGAUCGGGACGUUUGAACAAUAUAGUAUAGCCGAGCCAUAUCCCAGAUCAAGGGAUGGAUACGAGCAGCAUCUGAAACUGCAGGUUACUCGUCGGCGGCCCUCACCAGCCGGCGAACUUGGGAAGGCCUACAAGGAGUUGUUGCUACAAGGCCUGUCUAUCCUCCGGAACCUUGCCGCAGACGAAAACAAUUGCAGAAUCAUGAGCGACACCCGAGAUCUGGUCUGCAAGAUCAUGGCACCUGUCACUUGCGACCUACUCGACCACACCGCCGAUGAUCAUGGUACAUGGUGCGAAGUAGUAGGCCGAUCGAUGGAGGUGAUGAGCCAUUUAAGCGGUGCUCAAGGAGAAACUGGGGCCAAGCUACGCCGUGAAAUCUCAAGUUGCGCAGAAACAAUCGGCACACUACUAAGGAUUCUUAGCUGUAAAAAUUGCAAAGAAGAGUUGCGGCAAAGAGCCAUUUGGAUUCUCGCACGACUAUACAUGGAUACCAACGGAAUCAACAGAUCAGCUGGUUUUCAUCUUCUCAAAAAUGAAAAUAGUUGUUGCGGAGAAGACUUUGUUGGGAUGCUAGUCAACAUCUUCACUCGGGAUAAUGAGUAUAGCAGCUCCAUCAGAGGAUACGCGGGAGAAGCGCUGUCAAAUAUAUGUUCCCUUGGCGGAAUUAGUGAUGCCACAACUAUCAUACAAACAAGUGGUGAUGUUGUUGAUAGUCUCACUCAAGUGCUUUUACAUGAAGAAAACGAGACGUGCAGACAAGCAUCAGCUGAAAUCCUUGAGCGUCUAUGUACCCAUUACACCAAGGAUGAUGAAUACCUUCACAAACUUAAGAAAGCAAUCCUCAAGGUGAUUGGAAAAAUACUUUCUUGUGGAGACGGAACACAUAAUGGAGAAGACAUAGAGAGCCAAUGUGAUGGCACACAAGAAAACAAUGAGCCGGACAAGGAUGCCCAGGGAUUCCAAGUAGACACACUCUCAACUAUGUCAUCGAACUUGCUUUCAUCAUUGUUAUGCCUUUGCGGGGCGGUCUACAACACGCCGUUGGUCGUUGAUUUGCCUCCUCAGCUGGAUGCAUCUAGCUUUCUAAACAAUCUCAGGGACAUGGUAGUGAAAAGAAGUGGCCCCACCGUCGAAAACCUGUCAGUGUGCAAGGCUGCCGGUAAUAUGGUCAUAUCAAUGCUGAAAUACUACAGUGGCGGGUUCUUCAAACAAGAACACUUUGGGAGCUUGAUAGAGGCACUCUCUAGUGCUUCUGAGAACAUGCUGGAUCUCGACUACUCCGUGGUUUGCUCUUCCGCCAGCAGCUCCGAAGCCAGAUCAAAGCUUGACAGGCGUACCCUCGUGUCCCUCGUGAGAGAAGCCAAAGAAUUGCAUGCCAUGGCACCAUCUACAUCUUUGAGUGGCUGA